Molecule: ribosomal RNA, 544 nt
Filed under: Crossota millsae
Lineage: Eukaryota; Metazoa; Cnidaria; Hydrozoa; Trachymedusae; Rhopalonematidae
Description: partial large subunit ribosomal RNA
Rfam family: Bacterial large subunit ribosomal RNA
Source: RNAcentral
AAAACAUAGCUAUAAGAUAUAUUAAUAGUGGGACCUGGUCAGUGGUUUAAACACACGCCUUAGCGUGAGGGUGAUAAUGUAGCAUAAUAAUUUGGCAUUUAAUUUGUGUCUUGAAUGAAUGGUGAAACCAUUUUAAAUUUGUCUCAUUUUUAAAACUAUUUAAUUUAAAAUAAUAGUUAAGAUACUAUUUAAAUCUUGUUAGACGAAAAGACCCUAUAAACCUUUACUUAAAUAGUUCAUUAAUGAACUAUUAUAAGUUUAGCUGGGGCGGCUUACUUCUAAAAAUAACGAAGUGUUAAAUAAAAUAAACAAAGAUGUUUAUUCAAUAAAAUUAUACAUAACUGUAAAGUGAUAUAUGACCACUUUUAACUAAUCUAUUUAGAAGAAUUAAUAAAUAAAAGGUACUUUAGGGAUAACAGCGUAAUUUUUUGAUAAAGUUCACAUUAAACUUAAAGUUUGCGACCUCGAUGUUGAAUUAAGAUAUCCUUAAGGAGUAUAAAUUUUGAAGGGUUGGAUUGUUCAUCCAUUAAAAUCUUACAUGAUU